UGUUUCGACACACUAUCAUUAACUGAAUCCAUAGGUUAAUGAGGCGAACCGGGGGAACUGAAACAUCUAAGUACCCCGAGGAAAAGAAAUCAACCGAGAUUCCCCCAGUAGCGGCGAGCGAACGGGGAGCAGCCCAGAGCCUGAAUCAGUAUGUGUGUUAGUGGAAGCGUCUGGAAAGGCGCGCGAUACAGGGUGACAGCCCCGUACACAAAAAUGCACAUGCUGUGAGCUCGAUGAGUAGGGCGGGACACGUGGUAUCCUGUCUGAAUAUGGGGGGACCAUCCUCCAAGGCUAAAUACUCCUGACUGACCGAUAGUGAACCAGUACCGUGAGGGAAAGGCGAAAAGAACCCCGGCGAGGGGAGUGAAAAAGAACCUGAAACCGUGUACGUACAAGCAGUGGGAGCACGCUUAGGCGUGUGACUGCGUACCUUUUGUAUAAUGGGUCAGCGACUUAUAUUCUGUAGCAAGGUUAACCGAAUAGGGGAGCCGAAGGGAAACCGAGUCUUAACUGGGCGUUAAGUUGCAGGGUAUAGACCCGAAACCCGGUGAUCUAGCCAUGGGCAGGUUGAAGGUUGGGUAACACUAACUGGAGGACCGAACCGACUAAUGUUGAAAAAUUAGCGGAUGACUUGUGGCUGGGGGUGAAAGGCCAAUCAAACCGGGAGAUAGCUGGUUCUCCCCGAAAGCUAUUUAGGUAGCGCCUCGUGAAUUCAUCUCCGGGGGUAGAGCACUGUUUCGGCAAGGGGGUCAUCCCGACUUACCAACCCGAUGCAAACUGCGAAUACCGGAGAAUGUUAUCACGGGAGACACACGGCGGGUGCUAACGUCCGUCGUGAAGAGGGAAACAACCCAGACCGCCAGCUAAGGUCCCAAAGUCAUGGUUAAGUGGGAAACGAUGUGGGAAGGCCCAGACAGCCAGGAUGUUGGCUUAGAAGCAGCCAUCAUUUAAAGAAAGCGUAAUAGCUCACUGGUCGAGUCGGCCUGCGCGGAAGAUGUAACGGGGCUAAACCAUGCACCGAAGCUGCGGCAGCGACGCUGAUGCGUUGUUGGGUAGGGGAGCGUUCUGUAAGCCUGCGAAGGUGUGCUGUGAGGCAUGCUGGAGGUAUCAGAAGUGCGAAUGCUGACAUAAGUAACGAUAAAGCGGGUGAAAAGCCCGCUCGCCGGAAGACCAAGGGUUCCUGUCCAACGUUAAUCGGGGCAGGGUGAGUCGACCCCUAAGGCGAGGCCGAAAGGCGUAGUCGAUGGGAAACAGGUUAAUAUUCCUGUACUUGGUGUUACUGCGAAGGGGGGACGGAGAAGGCUAUGUUGGCCGGGCGACGGUUGUCCCGGUUUAAGCGUGUAGGCUGGUUUUCCAGGCAAAUCCGGAAAAUCAAGGCUGAGGCGUGAUGACGAGGCACUGCGGUGCUGAAGCAACAAAUGCCCUGCUUCCAGGAAAAGCCUCUAAGCAUCAGGUAACAUCAAAUCGUACCCCAAACCGACACAGGUGGUCAGGUAGAGAAUACCAAGGCGCUUGAGAGAACUCGGGUGAAGGAACUAGGCAAAAUGGUGCCGUAACUUCGGGAGAAGGCACGCUGAUAUGUAGGUGAAGUCCCUCGCGGAUGGAGCUGAAAUCAGUCGAAGAUACCAGCUGGCUGCAACUGUUUAUUAAAAACACAGCACUGUGCAAACACGAAAGUGGACGUAUACGGUGUGACGCCUGCCCGGUGCCGGAAGGUUAAUUGAUGGGGU
Molecule: ribosomal RNA, 1730 nt
Filed under: Escherichia coli
Lineage: Bacteria; Pseudomonadati; Pseudomonadota; Gammaproteobacteria; Enterobacterales; Enterobacteriaceae
Description: partial 23S ribosomal RNA
Rfam family: Bacterial large subunit ribosomal RNA
Source: RNAcentral